GGGAAUAGCUUCCUCAAUCGAUCAUGGCGGACUCGUCAGGGACGACGCUAAUGGAUCUGAUUACUGCUGACCCGUCAACUACUUCGGCGGGAUCCACCUCCACAGCUGCUUCAUCAGUCCAGUCGUCAACGAUUAGUUCAUCUUCGAAUUCCUCCUCAAGUGUUCUCCCCACUGCACUGGGGAAGCCAGCCGGAGAGAAGAGGUCUAAGAGGGCGGCACUGAUGCAGAUCCAGAAUGAUACAAUUUCUGCUGCUAAAGCAGCUUUGAAUCCUGUGAGGACCAACAUUAUGCCGCAGAGGCAGAGCAAGAAGAAGCCUGUUUCUUAUUCCCAAUUGGCUAGGAGUAUCCAUGAACU
This 355-nucleotide unclassified non-coding RNA is filed under the name Hevea brasiliensis (rubber tree). The record is from RNAcentral. Lineage: Eukaryota; Viridiplantae; Streptophyta; Magnoliopsida; Malpighiales; Euphorbiaceae.